RNAcentral lists this ribosomal RNA (335 nucleotides) under uncultured bacterium. Its description in RNAcentral is "partial 16S ribosomal RNA". It matches the Rfam family "Bacterial small subunit ribosomal RNA", at positions 338 to 690 of the family's 1533-position model. The record is from RNAcentral.
CCUACGGGGGGCAGCAGUGGGGAAUAUUGCACAAUGGGGGAAACCCUGAUGCAGCGACGCCGCGUGAGUGAAGAAGUAAUUCGUUAUGUAAAGCUCUAUCAGCAGGGAAGAAAAUGACGGUACCUGAGUAAGAAGCCCCGGCUAACUACGUGCCAGCAGCCGCGGUAAUACGUAGGGGGCAAGCGUUAUCCGGAUUUACUGGGUGUAAAGGGAGCGUAGACGGCAGUGCAAUACUGGAGUGAAAGGCGGGGGCUAAACCCCCGGACUGCUCUGGAAACGUUACGGCUGGAGUGCAGGAGGGGAAAGGGGAAUUCCUAGUGUAGCGGGGAAAUGGG